GAUGAACGCUGGCGGCGUGCCUAAUACAUGCAAGUCGAGCGAACGGACGAGAAGAUUGCUUCUCUGAUGUUAGCGGCGGACGGGUGAGUAACACGUGGAUAACCUACCUAUAAGACUGGGAUAACUUCGGGAAACCGGAGCUAAUACCGGAUAAUAUUUUGAACCGCAUGGUUCAAAAGUGAAAGACGGUCUUGCUGUCACUUAUAGAUGGAUCCGCGCUGCAUUAGCUAGUUGGUAAGGUAACGGCUUACCAAGGCAACGAUGCAUAGCCGACCUGAGAGGGUGAUCGGCCACACUGGAACUGAGACACGGUCCAGACUCCUACGGGAGGCAGCAGUAGGGAAUCUUCCGCAAUGGGCGAAAGCCUGACGGAGCAACGCCGCGUGAGUGAUGAAGGUCUUCGGAUCGUAAAACUCUGUUAUUAGGGAAGAACAUAUGUGUAAGUAACUGUGCACAUCUUGACGGUACCUAAUCAGAAAGCCACGGCUAACUACGUG
This 497-nucleotide ribosomal RNA is filed under the name uncultured bacterium. Its description in RNAcentral is "partial 16S ribosomal RNA". It matches the Rfam family "Bacterial small subunit ribosomal RNA", at positions 28 to 507 of the family's 1533-position model. The record is from RNAcentral.